Molecule: long non-coding RNA, 2411 nt
Organism: Equus asinus (donkey)
Lineage: Eukaryota; Metazoa; Chordata; Mammalia; Perissodactyla; Equidae
Source: Ensembl
UCUGGCCCUGGAAAUUCCUCUGCUUCCUCUGUCUGCACUGUCUAGCUGUCUUGCUUCCCUCUCUGGGAGGGCCUGGCAUAACGCAUCCAAAAAAACCAAGGGUAGAAGUUGUUUUCCUGUAACUUCUGCUUCAGGAAAUGGCUGGCUACCUUCCGAAGAGGGAGAGAAAAUUACUUUCAGAAUAAAAGACAAAUUAACAUCUUGGAAAAUGACUGUAACCUUUCCAACCUGGCAGAGGAAAACCCUCCCUCUGCCUCUGCCGACAGUGACCUCGGGGUGUAGAAUGCCAGCCGGGCCCGGGAAAGGUUUGCAAAUGGCUGGCCUGGCUGCCCACUGCUGUUCUGGCCUUCCCUUUCCACCUGGAAAGAAAGAGUCCUCUGACUGAGAGAACAGAGUUGUCAGAUAACAACAGUCUGUACAUGGAGGCCUCAAACAGAGGCUCAAUCCACUGCCGAAAGAAAGCAAGAAUAACAGACACUGGAGGAAAGAGAGAUCUGGAACUCCCCAACUUGGGUUCAAGACCUGACUCAGACGUUUUCAAGCUGAGACCUUGAGACUCUGUUUUCUCAUCUGCAGAAUGUAUACAAAAAUAAUCCCUGCUUCACUCCAUUGAUGUGAGGAGCGAAGGAACUAACGUGCAAAGAAAGUGCUUCUCCAGAAGCCAUAGAAAUAUUUGCUGGCCUCAUGGGAAGUGACACAGGAAAAGAGCAUGAUUCAUGACUGCAAUACUGAUGUGGCGUAUUCCAGCGAGAUGGCUCCUGUGCUAUUUUUAAGCACAAAAAUGGGAGUUGAAUCGAAUUGUUGCCAGACGUAGAUGUGAUUGUCCCUGACGUGGUUCGCACGGCACCUGGCACACAGUAGGAGCUUGGUGAAGCCAGGCCAGCCUCUGGGAAGUGCAGAGCCAACUCGCAGCCCAGUGUGCUGGAGGCAGAAGGAGCAGGAAAGGCUGUGGGCUUCCAGAAGUUCCCUUCGAUGCACCCCUUCCAACAACCAGAGAUUCUCUCGAGCGUUUGGAGCCCCUGAAUCUCCUUGACUCCAUCCCACCCGGAAGAGCAGAUAUCCCGUAAGUGCCAAGUUUCUUCCGCUGUCUGCAGCUGACCAUGAUGUCUUCUAGCUGGCAGCCCACCCUCUCCCACAGACCCCCAGCCAAAUCCCCAAGGCCUCAGUGUCACCCGAGUUGCAGGAUGGCAGAAGCCAAGGACUCUGCCAUACCAUCUUUUUUGGCUUCCAGUUUCUCUGCUGCCAAGAAACGUGAAUUGGAGAUUGUAAAAUGAAGAUGUGCUGAUGUGCCACUCCCAACAAUGACAGUGGACCUGCCGUCUUGCUCCCAGCUCCCCGUCUAUACUUCCAUCUUCUCUGUUGGAAGGUACAGGAACCAUCGAUUUGCUCAGCUAUUUGUUAAAAAUGAAAGAAUGACUUUAUUCCGGUGUAUUUCAGAAUCUGUGCACAGCUCCUUUAAGAAUGAGAAGAAGACAGCAGAGGAGCAAGUGUGGCCAAAGGGCUGUUAGCUGGACCAUCUCCUUCUGCGGCAUCUGGUCUGAGCUCCCCUCCGCCUGUGGGACCCACCUCUCACUCUCUGAGGAUUCCCUGAAGUCAGACCCACCUUUAGGUUCUGCCCUUUUCCCUGAGCUUGUCCUUGGUCUUUGCUCUGUUGACUUGCGCCUCUUUGACCGCAGACACGUGCAGGCCUCUGCCCUGGCCCACCUCUCCUGCAGUCCUGAUCUGGACAACUGUUGGCUCCACUCUGUCCCCUGCUUCUGUCUGAGCCAGUGCUUGUUAACAGGUCUUUCGUGUGGCUCCUUCUUUCAUAUUUUAUGGCACUCCUUUCCUGAACUUGGCACCAAGUCCCUCUGGAACUGUCCUGGGAGAUAAUACAAUGUCACUGCUAAGGGCAACAACCGAUUGUCCCUCUUCCUCAAUGAUCUGCCAGUGUCCGUGAGCUGAACUCUCUCUCCGCUGGGAGAAGUCAAUGGAGGUCACUGCCCGAGAGAUUGAGGGUCAGUCUUUGUCUGCCUUCUUGACAGCUCCAAAAGUCUCAUGUUUCUGAUGAGAUCUGCUGAAGCUUUAUGGAGAGAAAAACCCAAGUGGUUCAAGCCGGCGUGCCUGGAUUCCCCUGGAAACAGCAGGAAGGCCCUUUCUGGGGGCUAUUUGUUAAAAUCGGUUACAGUGCAUUCCAGGAGAGAUGUUCCAAUGGCAGCCUUGCCGGAAUAGGAGCGAGAACAUGGAACGUGGAGUCAGUCAACCCAAGUUUCAAUGGGCAGAAGCAGCUCCUCACUUUCCAAACGAACAACCUUGUGCAAGUCAUCAAAACUCCCCGAGCCUUCGCUUCAUCAUCUAUAAAAUGAGGAUGAAAAGAAGACCUUUCUGACGGUGCUGGUUUGAAGAUCAAAUAAAAUAAUGAAUGUGAAAGU